RNAcentral lists this ribosomal RNA (596 nucleotides) under Pseudomonas sp. RNAcentral describes it as "bacterial SSU rRNA". It matches the Rfam family "Bacterial small subunit ribosomal RNA", at positions 115 to 707 of the family's 1533-position model. The record is from RNAcentral. Lineage: Bacteria; Pseudomonadati; Pseudomonadota; Gammaproteobacteria; Pseudomonadales; Pseudomonadaceae.
ACCUAGGAAUCUGCCUGGUAGUGGGGGACAACGUUUCGAAAGGAACGCUAAUACCGCAUACGUCCUACGGGAGAAAGCAGGGGACCUUCGGGCCUUGCGCUAUCAGAUGAGCCUAGGUCGGAUUAGCUUGUUGGUGAGGUAAUGGCUCACCAAGGCGACGAUCCGUAACUGGUCUGAGAGGAUGAUCAGUCACACUGGAACUGAGACACGGUCCAGACUCCUACGGGAGGCAGCAGUGGGGAAUAUUGGACAAUGGGCGAAAGCCUGAUCCAGCCAUGCCGCGUGUGUGAAGAAGGUCUUCGGAUUGUAAAGCACUUUAAGUUGGGAGGAAGGGCAUUAACCUAAUACGUUGGUGUCUUGACGUUACCGACAGAAUAAGCACCGGCUAACUCUGUGCCAGCAGCCGCGGUAAUACAGAGGGUGCAAGCGUUAAUCGGAAUUACUGGGCGUAAAGCGCGCGUAGGUGGUUCGUUAAGUUGGAUGUGAAAUCCCCGGGCUCAACCUGGGAACUGCAUUCAAAACUGACGAGCUAGAGUAUGGUAGAGGGUGGUGGAAUUUCCUGUGUAGCGGUGAAAUGCGUAGAUAUAGGAAGGAAC